Herpailurus yagouaroundi (jaguarundi) is the source of this 183-nucleotide long non-coding RNA. RefSeq lists it as uncharacterized. The transcript is spliced from 3 exons. NCBI's taxonomy places the organism in Eukaryota, Metazoa, Chordata, Mammalia, Carnivora, Felidae. The record is from RefSeq and is a predicted model, not a curated record.
CAUGAAUGUUUAUUAAAAACAGUUGGUUAUGGAAAACACCACCGGCUUGGAUGAUUCAAACUUGUCUGGAUUUUUCAGUGGGUCUCUGGCAAAAGAAGACAAUAUGGAAAAAUCCCUUCAAACAGACCAUGAUAUUAAAGCUCUUCUUCUCAUACAAAACUUACAUCCAUUAUUUGAUUUACC